CAGGGGUCGGGAUGUGUGCUGUGACAAAUGGGAAUAGGGCAUUCUGAAAAGUAAAACUAGGGCAGGGCAAUGCCUAAUUGGAAGAGUCAGAAAAGUGACAUCAAGCUGAGAACUAAAGGAUUUCCCUUGAAAUGAAGGUGGUAUGUUUGCAUGGGGCUUGGGGGAAAACAAGAUCAGAAUUCACAACUGGAUUAAAAAAAUUAGGCAAAUGACAAAGUUAGAAAAUGAUUUGAGAGGAAGAGCUCCACACCCCCACCACAAAGCUAAGGAGAACUGACCAUCAAGGCUUCAAGAUCUUCAAGAGAUAGUCCACAGAGUCUGUAAUCACUCACUGUCACGGGAGUUCUUCUACUUGCCUGAUCACAGAAAUCAUCAGGCCCUCCACCUGUGAGUUACAUGACCUUCCUGGAGAUUUUGGUGCAUUAAUGAUGGGGUGUGGUCCAGAAUACAGAGAAGAGAACAAAGGCCCAGGGGGAUCUUCUCAGGCAAAUGUGAGAAACACUUCUAAAACCUUUUUCUGUAUUUUAUAGUUUUCACCUAUUUUACUCUAAAACUGAAAAUAAGAGACUCUCCUUUAUUAUUAUGGUGGACUAGCUUUAUAAAAAUGCCAAAAUACACAUAAUAUAUUCUUCACAUAAAUGACUGAAAGUAACUAGAAACAAGCUGACAUUUGGGAGAAAGUAGGUUAAUUA
This is a long non-coding RNA of Sapajus apella (tufted capuchin), 692 nucleotides long. RefSeq lists it as uncharacterized. The record is from RefSeq and is a predicted model, not a curated record. NCBI's taxonomy places the organism in Eukaryota, Metazoa, Chordata, Mammalia, Primates, Cebidae. The transcript is spliced from 3 exons.